CAGCAAGUUAGCUCAGUUGGGUAGAGUGCUGGUCUGUCACGCCAGAAGUCGCGGGUUCGAACCCCGUUUUCCCC
RNAcentral lists this transfer RNA (74 nucleotides) under Zea mays subsp. mays (maize). Its description in RNAcentral is "tRNA-Asp". The stretch from base 9 to 67 matches the Rfam family "tRNA", at positions 8 to 63 of the family's 71-position model. From Rfam's summary of the family: Transfer RNA (tRNA) molecules are approximately 80 nucleotides in length. Their secondary structure includes four short double-helical elements and three loops (D, anti-codon, and T loops). The record is from RNAcentral. Lineage: Eukaryota; Viridiplantae; Streptophyta; Magnoliopsida; Poales; Poaceae.